This 484-nucleotide ribosomal RNA is filed under the name uncultured bacterium. RNAcentral's name for it is "partial 16S ribosomal RNA". It matches the Rfam family "Bacterial small subunit ribosomal RNA", at positions 30 to 507 of the family's 1533-position model. The record is from RNAcentral.
AUUGAACGCUGGCGGCAGGCCUAACACAUGCAAGUCGAGCGGAUGAAGGGAGCUUGCUCCUGGAUUCAGCGGCGGACGGGUGAGUAAUGCCUAGGAAUCUGCCUGGUAGUGGGGGAUAACGUCCGGAAACGGGCGCUAAUACCGCAUACGUCCUGAGGGAGAAAGGGGGGGAUCUUCGAACCUCACGCUAUCAGAUGAGACUAGGUCGGAUUAGCUAGUUGGUGGGGUAAAGGCCUACCAAGGCGACGAUCCGUAACUGGUCUGAGAGGAUGAUCAGUCACACUGGAACUGAGCCACGGUCCAGACUCCUACGGGAGGCAGCAGUGGGGAAUAUUGGACAAUGGGCGAAAGCCUGAUCCAGCCAUGCCGCGUGUGUGAAGAAGGUCUUCGGAUUGUAAAGCACUUUAAGUUGGGAGGAAGGGCAGCAAGUUAAUACCUUGCUGUUUUGACGGUACCAACAGAAUAAGCACCGGCUAACUUCGUG